RNAcentral lists this ribosomal RNA (468 nucleotides) under uncultured bacterium. RNAcentral describes it as "partial 16S ribosomal RNA". It matches the Rfam family "Bacterial small subunit ribosomal RNA", at positions 28 to 507 of the family's 1533-position model. The record is from RNAcentral.
GACGAACGCUGGCGGCGUGCUUAACACAUGCAAGUCGAACGGAAAGGCCCUGCUUUUGUGGGGUGCUCGAGUGGCGAACGGGUGAGUAACACGUGAGUAUCCUGCCCUUGACUUUGGGAUAACUUCAGGAAACUGGGGCUAAUACCGGAUAGGAGCUCCUGCUGCAUGGGGGGGGUUGGAAAGUUUCGGCGGUUGGGGAUGGACUCGCGGCUUAUCAGCUUGUUGGUGGGGUAGUGGCUUACCAAGGCUUCGACGGGUAGCCGGCCUGGGAGGGUGACCGGCGACAUUGGGACUGAGAGACGGCCCAGACUCCUACGGGAGGCAGCAGUGGGGAAUAUUGCACAAUGGGCGGAAGCCUGAUGCAGCAACGCCGCGUGCGGGAUGACGGCCUUCGGGUUGUAAACCGCUUUCGCCUGUGACGAAGCGUGAGUGACGGUAAUGGGUAAAGAAGCACCGGCUAACUACGUG